RNAcentral lists this ribosomal RNA (581 nucleotides) under Ptomaphagus shapardi. RNAcentral's name for it is "partial 16S ribosomal RNA". The stretch from base 341 to 499 matches the Rfam family "Bacterial large subunit ribosomal RNA", at positions 2473 to 2632 of the family's 2925-position model. Lineage: Eukaryota; Metazoa; Arthropoda; Insecta; Coleoptera; Leiodidae. The record is from RNAcentral.
AAUAAUUUAAUGGCUGCAGUAUUUUAACUGUACAAAGGUAGCAUAAUAAUUAGUUCCUUAAUUAGGGACUGGAAUGAAGGAUUGAACGAGAUAGAAAUUGUCUCUUUUUAAAUUUUAUAAUUUUAUUUUUAAGUUAAAAAGCUUAAAUAAUUUUAAAAGACGAGAAGACCCUAUAGAGUUUUAUAGUUAUAUUAUUUAUAAAUUUUGGUAAUAAAAUUUUAUAAAUAUAAUAAUUAUUUGAUUGGGGUGAUUUUAAAAUUUAAAAAACUUUAAUAUUUUUAACAUUUAUAUAUGAUAAAUUGAUCCAUAAAUUAUGAUUAAAAGAUUAAAUUACCUUAGGGAUAACAGCGUAAUUUUUUUUAAGAGUUCUUAUCGAAAAAAAAGAUUGCGACCUCGAUGUUGGAUUAAAAUAAAUUUUUGGUGUAGAAGCUAAAAUAUUAGGUCUGUUCGACCUUUAAAAUUUUACAUGAUCUGAGUUUAAAUCGGCGUGAGCCAGGUUGGUUUCUAUCUUUAAUUAAAUAAAAUAUUUUAGUACGAAAGGACCAUAUAUUUAUAAAGUUUAUUAUUUAUGAUUAAUAUUA